RNAcentral lists this ribosomal RNA (164 nucleotides) under Crotalaria sphaerocarpa. RNAcentral's name for it is "5.8S ribosomal RNA". Lineage: Eukaryota; Viridiplantae; Streptophyta; Magnoliopsida; Fabales; Fabaceae. The record is from RNAcentral.
CGACACCCAGGCAGGCGUGCCCUCGGCCUAAUGGCUUCGGGCGCAACUUGCGUUCAAAGACUCGAUGGUUCACGGGAUUCUGCAAUUCACACCAAGUAUCGCAUUUCGCUACGUUCUUCAUCGAUGCAAGAGCCGAGAUAUCCGUUGCCGAGAGUCUUUCGGAU